UACGAGGGACCUAGCGUUGUUCGGAAUCAUUGGGCGUAAAGGGUGUGUAGGCGGCCAAGUAAGUCAGUUGUGAAAGCCCCGGGCUCAACCCGGGAAGUGCUUCUGAUACUGCUUGGCUUGAGUAUUGGAGAGGUGAGUGGAAUUCCCAGUGUAGCGGUGAAAUGCGUAGAUAUUGGGAGGAACACCAGUGGCGAAGGCGGCUCACUGGACCGGUUCUGACGCUGAGGCGCGAAAGCGUGGGGAGCAAACGGG
Molecule: ribosomal RNA, 252 nt
Filed under: uncultured bacterium
Lineage: Bacteria
Description: partial 16S ribosomal RNA
Rfam family: Bacterial small subunit ribosomal RNA
Source: RNAcentral